GCCGGGGUGGCUCAGCCUGGUGGAGCGACGGACUCAUAAUCCGUAGGUCAUGGGUUCAAAGCCCAUCCCCGGCA
Molecule: transfer RNA, 74 nt
Filed under: Methanomassiliicoccus sp.
Lineage: Archaea; Methanobacteriati; Thermoplasmatota; Thermoplasmata; Methanomassiliicoccales; Methanomassiliicoccaceae
Description: tRNA-Met
Rfam family: tRNA
About the family: Transfer RNA (tRNA) molecules are approximately 80 nucleotides in length. Their secondary structure includes four short double-helical elements and three loops (D, anti-codon, and T loops).
Source: RNAcentral